Molecule: transfer RNA, 18 nt
Filed under: Rhinella veredas
Lineage: Eukaryota; Metazoa; Chordata; Amphibia; Anura; Bufonidae
Description: partial tRNA-Gln
Source: RNAcentral
UUAGAAAGAUAGGAAUUG